This is a long non-coding RNA of Phascolarctos cinereus (koala), 3359 nucleotides long. RefSeq lists it as uncharacterized. The record is from RefSeq and is a predicted model, not a curated record. NCBI's taxonomy places the organism in Eukaryota, Metazoa, Chordata, Mammalia, Diprotodontia, Phascolarctidae.
CUGCAGCCCCAGACUAACUGAAAGUGAGGCAGCCGUGAUGUGGGGGCAAAGAGUGCCCUGGGAUUCAAAUUAAGGGUUCCCUUCCCAGGCCCAGGAGGGGGUUGGAGGCUUACUCUGUAGCUCAUCCUGCCCCAAAAGAACUGCCAUUGUUUCCUUUAUCCUGCGUUCUGUCAUUUAUCUUCCUCAUCCUGUUUAUUCUUAUCCUGUCCCUAAUCUCCAGCUCCCAUAUGAAGCUCUAAAAAUACAUCAUUAUCCUUCAGGCUGUGCAGCUUUCUGUCUCUACAAGCCUGGGUCUUUUCCUACAUCUCACCUUUGUUCAGCAUCUUGCUAACCUCAGGCCGGUGAAGCUUUCAUGAAAUAAAGCUCCCCAGGGCUACCGAGAAGGUCUAAGUGAGUUCUUUCACACCUGAACCAGCUCUCCCAAUUCUAAACCUCAACAUAAAAUGGUGCCGAAAUCCAGGAGUCCAAAUAUUAACUGGACUCCGCCGAUCUUCUCCUGGCCACUGGGAUAACAGGUCGACAGUAAUGGUGCUGUGACAUUGGAUUGGAACUGAAGAAGUAGGAGAAAACACUACCCCAGCAAUUCGAGUUGCUCAGGCGCCUCAGGAUCCAUUUUUCCUGAAGUCCUAACCUUGACUGGGUUGGAAAUUCCACUUUCAACUCUUAGGAUACCAGCCCUUACCCUGGGUAUCCCUGAGUGGUUUGCCUCUCUCCACCCUGGACUCAGCUGGCACUACAUUCCACACCUCCACACUGACCACCCUUCCUCAACCUUUUAUCGGCCCUUGAAAUGGACUCUUCACCUCUGUUCAGCAGGGAGCAGUACUGAAGAUAAAGACCUUCGCCCCUUUUCCCGAAAGAUUUCUCCUGCCUAUUGUUUGAGUGGGUAUAAUUAAAUUUAAUAAUUAAGUUUAAUAAUUUAUUGUAAAUUUGUCUUUUCCCCUCCCCUCCAUUGUGUCAACCUUGAAAGUCAGUUAAAGAGGCAACAAGCUAGGUGAUAAGUAAAUUUAUGUUGUUUACUCCCUUAAGUUAGUAACAUGUACAUGGAGCCAGAGCUUUAACUCUGACUGAAUCAAGCAAUUUUAGGAGGACAUUUACACCCUUACUCAGGAUGUCUGUGGGAUAGAAACGAGCAAAGUACUUGACUCAAAGAGAGAGUCAAUGGAGGAAGAUGUUUAUUUCAUUUCUUGCAAGAAGAGGGUAUGUUGCUCCCAAAAAGCACAGACGCCAGUACAGAAGCAAGAGUAAGCUCUGAUACCUUCAGGUGUGUCACAUAAGCUAAUUGAUCACAUGCAGACGCAAGAACAGCUGUUAGUUAUUUGUCAAUACUUGUAGUGUAUAUACAUGUGUGUAUGUAUUUAGGGUCAGGUUAGGGUUAGGGUUACUAUGGUAUGUAGAGUACCUGCUAAUCAGGACACACUAAUCCAUAGGCAUCCUGUUUUUACAUUAAGUUCUGUGGAAACAGAAAAUUUCACAAACAUCUUCUUUUCACAUGUGUCACUGAGAUUUAUGGUCUCCAUAUGUGUUUAACCAUAGCAUGAGAAAGAAAUUUUCUUAAUUGAAUAGGCUUUAAAUACAAUAAGAUAGGGGAAUGUCAAAAUGUCAAUUGAAAUUAUAGCUCCAGGAUAUCUGUUUCUUUUACCGUUAACAUGACAUAGCAUAGUAUAUGUCCUUCAUUAUCUCUACCACGAAUUCCAUGGUGCCAUUGUUGAACCAGGAAGAAGCUUUAUUAAUGACCUGGGAAGGCUGGGCGUCCCCUAUGUGUGAGAGCAUGCACGUGAGAGCACAUGUGUGGACAGAUGGACACCUUUUUAUUCCCUAUUCCCAGUUCAAAUUUCCUUCCCGUUUUCCCAUUGGCUGGGUACUAUAAAUCCAAAGCACCUAAUUUUCCCAUGUGAGUCCCCACCCCUAAUUACAUCUCCUACUCCCCACAAUUCAGCAACUAGGCUCUUAUUUGGGAACACCCCUUUUAUGUUAACUUCAGAACUGGUUUUCAGCAGGUUAGGCUAUUCACCACCAAUAGUGUUUUCUUAUUCUAAUAUAGCUUCCUUUGUUCAACUUCCACCUAGCCUUUUAGAUUACAUUCCUUAAGUUCCAUGUGACUUUUGUGUAAAUAUAAAAAAAUUAGCUAUUUCUCACAUUCUCUCCCACUUUAAACUGACCUCAAUGCUGUCACCUAGGCCUCUAAUUCCUGAUUGAGUGACAUGCAGAAGCAACAUUCCCCAACCACAUUUGCCACAUCCAUAAAAUACCAAGAUCUUAGAAAAGUCCCAUUACUCAAGGGAGUGUCCGGAUCUAAGGCGCCUUAGUGGUCAUAAACAGAAGAACGCUGGUCAGAUUCAUCUGGUCCUGUAGUUGCUGACACAGGAAGUGGCAUUUUGAGUUCAUUCAGAGAACAAAGAAAAAAUAUGUCUAUUAUGUUGGGGUGCUUCUUCUGGUUGAUUAGUUCAGGCUUUGGCCCUUAUUGGGGCUCAAAUGAUCAUCAACUGAAAUUCUGAUGAUGUCAUAUUGCAUCACGUAACCAUUUAUAGCAUCUUAUUGUAAACAAGUCAUUCCAUGCACAUAAUCCUGCAGAUGCAUGCUGGACUUCUUGACAACGUGCAAAAUGCCCACCAACACUUGCCUGUUAAGACCCUUGUGGGUAGACUUGACCAGUCUCUAACCUGAGAAUGCUUGGAGCCAGAACAAAGCAGGCCUAGAGAGCCAGUAAUCAAGUAGUUUAAUUAAUCAGUUUCAGAGUGAGGAAUGUUCCCUUAGCUGAAGAAAAAGCACAGGUUAUAUACUUCAAUCACAAUGGGGGGGAAGGCAGAUUAUAGUAGUUUAGUGGCUUCCCAUGAGAAACCCACAAGCUCCACAAUACAAUUCUGCAGUCACGUCUUUGGGGGUCGUGACCCCCUCCCCUAGAAUGAAGAAUCAGAGUUCUGUGAUGAACAGGUUCAACAAUCUUUGAUUCAAUUUACUUAAGGUCCAGUGAUUGUGAGCUUUGUCAGAGUUUUGAUUAAUCAGUUUAAACUGCAUUGUGAGCUCUGACUCCCAAGCCAGACAGCCAGAUCUUGAGAAAAUUAAGUUAUUAGUAUAUUCAUUGUGCAUAUCAUAUCAAUUAAUAUGAAAAUUCUAAUUCCUUCUCACUGGAAAUAGUGAAUCCCAUAAUAUGAAAUGCUUAGAAUAAAAUGUAAACUAUAAUAAAUCAUGUAAAAUACAAUACUAAUUGAAAUUAGAAAUUGAUGUUCUACAUGAUAUUAUUUGGAAAAUAGAUCCAGGUGCAAUAAAAUUCUGGUCCUAUUUUAAAUGUAGGCAAACAGUGUUAAGUCACUUGCCCAGGGUCACACUGCUAGUAAGUGUCUUGAGGCCAGGAAAAA